UACGUAGGGUGCGAGCGUUAAUCGGAAUUACUGGGCGUAAAGCGUGCGCAGGCGGUUCGCCAAGUCAGGUGUGAAAUCCCCGGGCUUAACCUGGGAAUGGCGAUGGAGACUGCGAGGCUAGAGUUUGGCAGAGGGGGGUAGAAUUCCACGUGUAGCAGUGAAAUGCGUAGAGAUGUGGAGGAACACCGAUGGCGAAGGCAGCCCCCUGGGUCAAAACUGACGCUCAUGCACGAAAGCGUGGGGAGCAAACAGG
RNAcentral lists this ribosomal RNA (253 nucleotides) under uncultured bacterium. Its description in RNAcentral is "partial 16S ribosomal RNA". It matches the Rfam family "Bacterial small subunit ribosomal RNA", at positions 524 to 776 of the family's 1533-position model. The record is from RNAcentral.